AAAUUUAUCAGUUCAUAUACGACUUGAGUUUGCAGUAUAACUGUUAAACAUUAUUCUCAAUUCAAUAAUUGUUAAAUAAUAGAUGUGGAUACAGAUUUCACUCUGAAGGCAAAUAGUCGUGCAGUAUAAGCAUACCUAGUGUAGGGUACUACCUAAUUGCCAUAAAAUUUAAGAGUAAUCAAUUUGGCUCAAUUCCAAAACCAUCGACAAACCCAAUCUCUGAUCAGCAUGAUGCAUGCAUGGAGCAUGUAUAAAGAUGGAGCUGGCUCAACAGUCAGAGUAGUUGUUUUUGACUUCAGGAAAGCUUGUACACAAUAUCGAUCACAAUACAGGGUGUAUAAAAAAAUGAACAGAUUUGAAAUUGCUUUUAAUUUCGCAAAACAGCUACUAGUAUC
Molecule: non-coding RNA, 395 nt
Organism: Paramuricea clavata
Lineage: Eukaryota; Metazoa; Cnidaria; Anthozoa; Malacalcyonacea; Plexauridae
Source: the annotation of a GenBank genome assembly